ACCGGGAGUCGGGCGGACGGUGCCGUCGCCAACCCGGUCAGGUCCGGAAGGAAGCAGCCGCAACGAUUUCGCAUCGGGUCGUUCCGGCUCCCACCUCU
RNAcentral lists this signal recognition particle RNA (98 nucleotides) under Sphingomonas sp. Its description in RNAcentral is "signal recognition particle sRNA small type". It matches the Rfam family "Bacterial small signal recognition particle RNA". From Rfam's summary of the family: The signal recognition particle (SRP) is a universally conserved ribonucleoprotein involved in the co-translational targeting of proteins to membranes. Archaeal SRP consists of a 7S RNA and homologues of the eukaryotic SRP19 and SRP54 proteins. The record is from RNAcentral. Lineage: Bacteria; Pseudomonadati; Pseudomonadota; Alphaproteobacteria; Sphingomonadales; Sphingomonadaceae. RNAcentral also lists the same sequence under 2 other names.